GGCCGGCUAGCUCAGCUGGUUAGAGCGUGGUGCUAAUACAGUUUCCCACGGUAACGAUGGGAGAUUAGUAUGGCACGCCAAGGUCGUCGGUUCGAUCCCGGCGCUGGCCA
Molecule: transfer RNA, 110 nt
Organism: Daedalea quercina L-15889
Lineage: Eukaryota; Fungi; Basidiomycota; Agaricomycetes; Polyporales; Fomitopsidaceae
Rfam family: tRNA
About the family: Transfer RNA (tRNA) molecules are approximately 80 nucleotides in length.
Source: Rfam